GAUGAACGCUAGCGGCAGGCCUAAUACAUGCAAGUCGAACGGGAUUGAGGAGCUUGCUCCUCAUGAGAGUGGCGCACGGGUGCGUAACACGUAUGUAACCUACCUUAAUCAGGGGAAUAACCUCUCGAAAGAGAGAUUAACACCGCAUAAAAUCACACUAUGGCAUCAUAGAAUGAUCAAAUAUUUAUAGGAUUAAGAUGGGCAUGCGGAACGUUAGCUAGUUGGUAAGGUAACGGCUUACCAAGGCUACGAUGUUUAGGGGAUCUGAGAGGAUGGCCCCCCACACUGGUACUGAGACACGGACCAGACUCCUACGGGAGGCAGCAGUAAGGAAUAUUGGUCAAUGGGCGGAAGCCUGAACCAGCCAUGCCACGUGCAGGAAGACGGCCCUACGGGUUGUAAACUGCUUUUGUACCGGAAUAAACCUUUCUACGCGUAGGAAGCUGAAUGUACGGUAAGAAUAAGGAUCGGCUAACUCCGUGCCAGCCGCCGCGGUAA
RNAcentral lists this ribosomal RNA (498 nucleotides) under uncultured bacterium. Its description in RNAcentral is "partial 16S ribosomal RNA". It matches the Rfam family "Bacterial small subunit ribosomal RNA", at positions 28 to 523 of the family's 1533-position model. The record is from RNAcentral.